RNAcentral lists this ribosomal RNA (254 nucleotides) under uncultured bacterium. Its description in RNAcentral is "partial 16S ribosomal RNA". It matches the Rfam family "Bacterial small subunit ribosomal RNA", at positions 524 to 776 of the family's 1533-position model. The record is from RNAcentral.
GACGAACCGUGCGAACGUUAUUCGGAAUCACUGGGCUUAAAGCGCGUGUAGGCGGGACGGCACGUCGGUCGCUGAAAGCCCCCGGCUCAACCGGGGAACGGGCGCCGAUACGACCGCCCUCGAGGAACGUAGGGGGACCUGGAACUUCCGGUGUAGCGGUGAAAUGCGCAGAUAUCAGGAAGAACACCCGUGGCGAAGGCGGCUCUCUGGGCCGAUACUGACGCUGAGGAGCGAAAGCGUGGGGAGCGAACAGG